This is a long non-coding RNA of Ictalurus punctatus (channel catfish), 1990 nucleotides long. RefSeq lists it as uncharacterized. Lineage: Eukaryota; Metazoa; Chordata; Actinopteri; Siluriformes; Ictaluridae. The record is from RefSeq and is a predicted model, not a curated record. The transcript has 3 exons.
CAAGGUCUUGGACAUGUCUUGGACAUGAGACAUAUGAGCUCAUUUUAAAUAGGGUGCCAAUACUUUAUCAGUUUUAAGAAAAAAUACAGAGAAUGUUGAGUACAAGCUUAAAAUCUUCAGGCAUGUGGUGCACUACACAGCACCUGCAAGAAAAAGAGAUAAAAUAAAGUUCGAGACAGUCAGUACCCUACUGAACAUCACUGAGCCGUACUGUCCGCUAGACACGCUGGGCCAAUCAGUGAUCUGCAGUGCUUCUAGCUCCACCCACAUGCCCCAGAAAAUAAAGCCAUUCUAUUCUAUUCUAUUCUGUGAAAGCUGUUGAGUUCAAUGCUUUCGCACCUGCUUCUGCUCAAUAAGUAAGUUAUUAACCUUUCAACAGGGCACGUUGACACGACAGGAGAAAAAUACUCUGUACAGAGCCGUUUCACUUCAGUAUCCCACAGGAGUAACACCGCCUGACCCGGAUUAAUUCACCAAUAACAUUAUAUAGGAAUUAGGUGUAGAUAUACAUAAUCCAGUAAAUUAGUGUAUUAGUGGAUGAGAAUGAUAUUAAACCUAAGUAUAAAUGUAGUAUAAUCACACCACUGAGUUGCGAAGGUUGGUUCCCACGUUCCAGUUCUCCACCUGUUGCCUCCCCUCUCUCUGUCAGGGUUGGGCUUUACACACACACACACACACACACACACACACCUGCUCCCAGGUGUUGUUUACCAGCACAGCAGGCUGGGAGUCGGGAUUGUCCCUGUCACGCUCAGGUAGUUCCUUCUUCUGUAAAUAAACCUGCAACAAGGUUCAGAAAGACAAUAAACACUAAUAAACACUACUGAUUAUUAAUAAACAGUAAUAAACACUAAUAUACACUACAUUUUAUUAAUAAACACUAAUAUGAAUAAGCACUACUUAUUAUUAAUGAACAGUAAUAAACACUACAUAUUAUUAAUGAGUAAUAAACAGUAAUGAAGGGUGUAGUGCAGCAGGGUUAAACCACAGACAGAGGUGUGAUUUGUGCUGCGUAAAACAGGAACAGAACUGGGAAACUCGUGUGGAAUGUUCUCGUGCCUUAUCUCCCGACUCCCGAGCCGACGCCCAGCUCUACACUUCCUCUUCUCACUCUGAUAACAUGGAAAUUCCUCGACCAAUAAACUUCCCCUGUUCCAGAGAAAAAGAAAAGCGUGUUAAAAAGGGGCGGUGAACUCCGGCGAGGCGGUGAGAAGGCGUGAGAGAGAAUGCUGGAAAGGUCAGAGGAAACGUACAAGAGUUUUUUUCUCUUAGAAAAGCUAACAAUAAUGUGGAAAUCCUGAAGAACCUUCCAGAAACCUACCGAGAGAAAGCGAGUCACCACAACUCUCUGAGAUGAAUGGUUCGAAUAUGUGGAGGUAUGAAAGAGGCCAGCUGUGUGGAGUUAUUGUUGGUGUCAGUAGGAAGCGCUGAUGGACCCUGCAGCAGAACAAAAGCCCCUCGGCAGCUCCAGACUCUCUGGCUCCACUCGAGAUUCUCUCCCACAAGCUGGACUCUGCAGAGCAAUUGUUUCAGCACAGAGCCCCCGCCUCUCUCUCCCUCUCUCUCUCUCUCUCUCUCUCUCUCUCUCUCUCUCUCUCUCUCCUCUCUCUUCCUCUCUCCUACAUCCACCGAUACCCUGACCUGAAACAGCCGGGUCUGAGGAUGUCACUGAAAUGAGGGAGAGGAGAUCCUACACUACCAUGGCUGGGGGCCAAUACUUGCACACCAUUAAAGCAUUCUUUAUGCUUAAUUAAGAUUUUAUCAAGAAAUGCUUCAAUGUGAAUUAAAGACUUUUUAAAAAAAAAAAAAGUUUAAAAUGUGAUAAUAAUAUUAAUUAAAAUGUUGUGUUGUAUUUUAUAUCAAGCUUGUAUUUAUAUGUUUUGUUGCAUGUGAUAUUACACCAGACGAAAGGAACGGAAUGGAUUUGGUCAUUUUUAGAGAACAUAGGCAAAUAAGUAAACACACACUUUUGAUCUUGUCCUAAAUAAAA